Desulfomicrobium baculatum DSM 4028 is the source of this 391-nucleotide non-coding RNA. It matches the Rfam family "transfer-messenger RNA". Rfam says of the family: Bacterial tmRNA, also known as 10Sa RNA or SsrA, is named for its dual tRNA and mRNA-like properties. Its role is to liberate the mRNA from a stalled ribosome. NCBI's taxonomy places the organism in Bacteria, Pseudomonadati, Thermodesulfobacteriota, Desulfovibrionia, Desulfovibrionales, Desulfomicrobiaceae. The record is from Rfam.
GGGGCCGCCCUGGUUUCGACGGGGAUGAUGAGGCCAAAGUUGCAGGUCGAGGUGCUGGGAGGUCCUCGUCAAAACCCAGCAGAAACAUAAUUGCCAAUGACAAUUAUGACUACGCAAUGGCUGCCUAGUAAAUAGGUAACCCUUGCAUGACGACCAAGGUCGUCACAUCCGUGCGGUGGAUGUCUGAUAAUCCGUAUCCGGGUGGCAAACCCCAUCAGGCUGGCGAAAGGUUACUGUCUGGAUGACCAAUCGCGAGACAAAUUCCGGGCUGGCGCCAAGGAAGCCCGUUCAGGGGCUAACCGUGGAGCGAGAAGCAAAACCUGAACUAAACCUGUAGAAGCUUUGCGCGGAGCAUUCUCGGACGGGAGUUCGAUUCUCCCCGGCUCCACCA